CAACAGAAUCUAGCUGGCUGUUAUGAAAAUCAGAGAUUUCAUUUUCCUUAAUUGAAGACAGGCCCUCAUUUCAUCACAAAAUGGAGUCAGAGCAGAACCUGCCUGAAUCACAAUGUGGCUUCCAACCAGAUCGCAGCACCAUUGACAUGGUCUUCACGGUGAGGCAAAUGCAGGAAAAAUGCCUUGAGCAGAACCUGAGUCUCUACAUUGUCUUCAUAGACCCGACAAAGGCGUUCGACACAGUGAACAGGGACGCAUUGUGGGUGAUCCUCAGCAAGCUCGGUUGCCCAGCAAAAUUCAUCAAACUGAUCCAGCUCUUUCAUGUCGACAUGACAGGGGAAGUCCUAUCUGGUGGAGAGACUUCUGAUCGCUUCAACAUCUCCAAUGGCAUGAAACAAGGCUAUGUCCUCGCUCCGGUACUAUUCAACCUAUACUUCACCCAAGUAUUACGACAUGCUCUGAUGGAUCUAGACCUGGGCUUCUACAUCAAAUACCGACUGGAUGGCUCACUAUUUGACCUUCACUGCCUGACUGCAAAAACAAAGACAACAGAGAGACUCAUGCUAGAAGCUCUCUUCACAGAUGACUGUGCUCUCAUGGCCCACCAAGAAAAUCAUCUCCAAACCAUUGUGGACAGAUUCUCUACUGCAACAAAACUGUUUGGCCUGACUAUCAGCCUCAGCAAAACAGAGGUGCUGUUCCAACCUGCACCAGGGAGGCCAACGAACCAGCCGUGCAUUACAAUCGACGGCACGCAGCUUUCUAACGUCAACACUUUCAAGUACCUGGGCAGCACCAUCGCCAAUGAUGGGUCCCUAGACCACGAGAUGAAUGCCAGGAUCCAAAAGGCCAGCCAGGCACUCAGGUGGCUGAGCUCCAAAGUCCUCCAACACAGAGGUGUAAGCACUUGCGAUGAAGCUCAAAGUGUAUAACACAGUGGUCCUCAGCUCGCUCCUGUACGGCUGCGAGAUGUGGACACUGUAUGGGAAGCACAUGAAACAGCUGGAGCAAUUUCACCAACGCUCUCUCCGGUCAAUCAUGAGGAUCCGAUGGCAGGACCGAAUCACCAAUCAGGAAGUCCUCGACAGAGCCAACUCCACCAGCAUCGAAGUCAUGCUACGAUGGUCUGGACACAUCAUCCGCAUGGACCCACAGCGAAUACCAAGACAGGUAUUCUAUGGUGAACUGUCAGCUGGACUCAGGAAACAAGGCCGACCAAAGAAAAAAUUCAAGGAUCAGCUAAAGUCAAACUUGAAGUGGGCUGGCAUUACACCAAACAACUAGAACUCGCUGCCUCUGUCAGAAGCAGCUGGCGAACCCACAUUCACCAUGCCGCCACCACCUUUGAAGACGAACGACAUCGAUGUCUUGCCGCUGCGCGUGAACGUCGACACCAGGCCACAACCACACCUCCCAUAACAACUGGCGUCCCAUGCCCCAUGUGCCACAAACUCUGUGCCUCAGCCUUUGGACUCCAAAGCCACAUGAGGGUACACCGUAGAUGAAAUUGCACAAAGACAAUCAUCAUUCUCGAUCACCAAGAGACUACCACUAUUUGCAUUUAUUAGAUAUAUUCCAAUAGAGUAGUUGUCCACUUCUUGUAGGCAGUCAUUAACAGGAUUAAUCGGGAUGCCUUUUUGCAGUCUAAUGUUUGUUACAACUCAACUUUCCUGAAGCUAAUUUCUAUCUGUUCAUUGAUUUUUUUUUUAACCAAAACUUAAAACAAGUUGGAAAGAUAAUUUAGAGCACUUUUCCAUCAGCUCAGUGUUCACCUCUGGCUUUAGGCAAUGAACAGGAGUCUAUACUUGGAAGUCCUCUCUUGCUAUAUAUGUGUCCACUUGGGUAUCUAAGACUGACUAAAAAUUCUUUCUCUGAUCUCUACUUUUCUUCCUCCCCCAUCAGCAAAAUUGUAUAGCAAAGUGCUCUGAGUUGGGUGAAAUAAAGGCUGCCCAUGGCAACCA
RNAcentral lists this long non-coding RNA (1961 nucleotides) under Monodelphis domestica (gray short-tailed opossum). RNAcentral describes it as "lncRNA (ENSMODG00000041451.1)". Lineage: Eukaryota; Metazoa; Chordata; Mammalia; Didelphimorphia; Didelphidae. The record is from RNAcentral.